Molecule: ribosomal RNA, 465 nt
Filed under: Vreelandella stevensii
Lineage: Bacteria; Pseudomonadati; Pseudomonadota; Gammaproteobacteria; Oceanospirillales; Halomonadaceae
Description: partial 16S ribosomal RNA
Rfam family: Bacterial small subunit ribosomal RNA
Source: RNAcentral
CCUACGGGCGGCAGCAGUGGGGAAUAUUGGACAAUGGGGGCAACCCUGAUCCAGCCAUGCCGCGUGUGUGAAGAAGGCCCUCGGGUUGUAAAGCACUUUCAGUGAGGAAGAACGCCUGGUGGUUAAUACCCAUCAGGAAAGACAUCACUCACAGAAGAAGCACCGGCUAACUCCGUGUCAGCAGCCGCGGUAAUACGGAGGGUGCGAGCGUUAAUCGGAAUUACUGGGCGUAAAGCGCGCGUAGGUGGCUUGAUAAGCCGGUUGUGAAAGCCCCGGGCUCAACCUGGGAACGGCAUCCGGAACUGUCAAGCUAGAGUGCAGGAGAGGAAGGUAGAAUUCCCGGUGUAGCGGUGAAAUGCGUAGAGAUCGGGAGGAAUACCAGUGGCGAAGGCGGCCUUCUGGACUGACACUGACACUGAGGUGCGAAAGCGUGGGUAGCAAACAGGAUUAGAUACCCCAGUAGUC